UGCCAUGUGUUGGGCUGUACAUUUGCUUCUAAUAAAGAUACUUGGUCUGUUCUUUUUCUCUUUGAAUCGGGUCUUGCUCUUUUGCCAGGCUGGAGUACAGUGGCAUCGCAGUCAUGGCUCACUACAGCCUCAAACUCCUAUGCUGAAGCCAUCUUCCUCCCUCAGUCUCUCAGGCAGCUGAGACUAUGGGUGUGUAUCACCAUGCCCAGCUGGAGUGUAGUGGUGCAGUCUCGCUCACUGCAACCUGCAUCUCCCAGGUUCAAGCGAUUCUCCUACGUCAGCCUCCUGAGUAGCUGGGACUACAGGCACAUGUCCCCAGGCCCGACUAAUUUUUUUGUAUUUUUACUAGAGAUGGGAUUUCACCAUGCUGGCCAGGUUGGUCUCGAACUCCUGACCUCAGGUGAUCCACUAGCCUCAGCCUCCCAGAGUGCUGGGAUUACAGGUGUGAACCAUUGCACCUGGCCCACCAUACACCAUUAUCUUCUCAUAUGCACAUUUCCAAGUGGGUCCGGGCUUAGUUCCCCAAAGUUAGACCAGAUGGAUGGUCUUAUUAACUCUGCCCAUCCUCUAGCAGAAUAUGCAGAAAAGCUGAAGUAGAUUUACAUAUGUAGGAUAAUUGAUAGAAAAGUAAAUACUUCAUCUUCCCAAUUCGUAGGAAAAAUUAAAUUGAUAUUGUUAUCUUCUAUUCUUACCUGUUAUCUCUUCCUACUCAUACCAGAAUACUAGAAGACAAACUCUAAUUUGAAACAAAAUAUCUUAAUUACUUAGAAGUUUUACCUCAAAUUUUUAAAUUAAAAUUCCUAUAAUUGCUUCAGAAGAAUAUUACUGGUUCCUCUUGAGGAAUCUACCAUCUUCAAGGAAUGGUGGGGAGCUAGGUUAAGGAGAAAGCCAUCGCCAUUACUUUUUUUUUUUUUUUUUUUUUUUUUUGAGACAGAGUCUUGCUCUGUCACCCAGGCUGGAAUGCAGUGGCGUGAUCUAGGCUCACUGCAACCUCCGCCUCCUAGGUUCAAGUGAUUGUUCUGCCUCUGCCUCCCAAGUAGCUGGGACUACAGGCAUGUGCCACCACGCCUGGCUAAUUUUUUGUAUUUUUAGUAGAGACGGGGUUUCACCGUGUUAGCCAGGAUGGUCCCAAUCUCCUGACCUGGUGAUCUGCCCACCUUGGCCUCCCAAAGUGCUAGGAUUACAGGUGUGAGCCACCGCGCCUGGCAGCCAUUGCCAUUACUUUAAAACCUUUCCCAACUUGUGCCCAGGUAUCAAUGGCAAUGCCCUGAUGUCCUCAGUAAAUUUGUUAAAGUAUUUUUUUUUUUUUUGAGACGGAGUCUUGCUCUUGUCACCCAGGCUGGAGUGCAGUGGUGCGAUAAUCCGCUCACUGCAAGCUCCACCUCCUGGGUUCACGCCAUUCUCCUGCCUCAGCCUCCCAAGUAGCUGGGACUACAUGCGCCUGCCACCACACCCGGCUAAUUUUUUUGUUUUUGGGGUUUUUUUUUUUUAGUAGAGACGGGGUUUCACCAUGUUCACCAGGAAUGGUCUCAAUCUCCUGACCUCGUGAUCCGCCCGCCUCGGCCUCCCAAAGAGCUGGGAUUACAGGUGUGAGUCACCGCGCCUGACCCUGUUAAAGUAUUUUCUAAGCUUCUUUGAAAACGGAAUCUCUUUGUGGUUGCUGCUGAUAAAACUCCUUUGACCUGACGAUUGCUCUAAGUCCUAAUUGCCAUAUUUAUAUUCCCAUAGUAAGAGUGUUUGGAGAUAGUGUUUGAGCUUUUUUGCUGGUGUUAAAAAUGCAUAAUGAAAGAUGGCAGAGAGAGGCAUAUUAUAUCCAAUUCAUGAGUUGUUUGUGUUAACAGAAAGCUUAUUUUAAUCACUUAACAUUGUUGAUUUGUCUAAUCACAGUAGAGCUAUUGAUUAGGAGCCUGACCUUUAGAUGGUUGACUUGUGAGUGUGUUCAAUAUGGUGAAAUAUGGUGUUGAUAUAUGGCUGCAGAUUUUAGAGGCGUCAUUAGCAAGGUAUAGGAGUAAAAUAGGGGUUAUAGUAUUCCUUACUCAAAUUCUGUAUGUGCUAGAGCUGGCUGGAGUCUGUGGCAUGCUCAUUGGUGUAAGUCGGUAAGGACUAUGCUUUUUGCUCCACAUCUCCGUUGUGGGAAAGCUAGUCUCUUGAGCAUUCUUGAUCAGAAUGGACUGGAAUAAUUUAACUUUCGUACUUUCCCAGGCUAUUAGUAUUAUCUAAUGAGUGGCUUAAAGAUACCAGAAACACUGACUGAGGUCUCCACCUGCUUCUGGCUGAAUGAAUGGGAGCUUCUAGCCAUUGAAUAAGAGGCAGUAGCCAAUGUUUCUUAUUCUGAAUGGUCCAGGUUGACUUUUAUGAGAGAAACACUCAGCCUUUUAAUUGCUGAAGGUCUGACCCAUAGACUAUAAGAUUGCACAUUCUUAGUCUAGGUUACACUUGAACUAGACUGCACCCACUGACGAUAUAUUCAGUUCAGGUGUUAACUCACUUGGAUUAGCAUCUGGCCUGUCCUAUCUCUGAAUAUAGGUUGAGACGUGUAUUGGAAUCUCUGACUAGUCAGAAUAUGUUCUUAGUUAUAUUCUCAAUACUGAGGAAUUUUUACUUGUAGAAACUGAAGGCUCAGAAGAGGAUGAUAAAGAAAAUGAUAAGACCGAAGAAAUGCCAAAUGAUUCAGUCCUUGAAAACAAGUCUCUUCAAGAAAAUGAGGAGGAGGAGAUUGGGAACCUAGAGCUUGCCUGGGAUAUGCUGGAUUUAGCAAAGAUCAUUUUUAAAAGGCAAGAAACAAAAGAAGCACAGCUUUAUGCUGCCCAGGCACAUCUUAAACUCGGAGAAGUUAGUGUUGAAUCUGAAAACUAUGUGCAAGCUGUGGAGGAGUUCCAGUCCUGCCUUAACCUGCAGGAACAGUACCUGGAAGCCCACGACCGUCUCCUUGCAGAGACCCACUACCAGCUGGGCUUGGCUUAUGGGUACAACUCUCAGUAUGAUGAGGCAGUGGCACAGUUCAGCAAAUCUAUUGAAGUCAUUGAGAACAGAAUGGCUGUACUAAACGAGCAGGUGAAGGAGGCUGAAGGAUCGUCUGCUGAAUACAAGAAAGAAAUUGAGGAACUAAAGGAAUUGCUACCCGAAAUUAGAGAGAAGAUAGAAGAUGCAAAGGAGUCUCAGCGUAGUGGGAAUGUAGCUGAACUGGCUCUGAAAGCUACUCUGGUGGAGAGUUCUACUUCAGGUUUCACUCCUGGUGGAGGAGGCUCUUCAGUCUCCAUGAUUGCCAGUAGAAAGCCAACAGAUGGUGCUUCCUCAUCAAAUUGUGUGACUGAUAUUUCCCACCUUGUCAGAAAGAAGAGGAAACCAGAGGAAGAGAGUCCCCGGAAAGAUGAUGCAAAGAAAGCCAAACAAGAGCCGGAGGUGAACGGAGGCAGUGGGGAUGCUGUCCCCAGUGGAAAUGAAGUUUCGGAAAACAUGGAGGAGGAGGCUGAGAAUCAGGCUGAAAGCCGGGCAGCAGUGGAGGGGACAGUGGAGGCUGGAGCUACAGUUGAAAGCACUGCAUGUUAAGAGGGGGCACAGCCCUCCUCCCAAGGGAAAGUGUUUUUGUAUAUAAUGUAUUUUUUCACUUUUGGAGGAUUCUUUUUGUAUAACUUCAAUAAAGAUUGUAAGC
Molecule: small RNA, 3652 nt
Filed under: Pan troglodytes (chimpanzee)
Lineage: Eukaryota; Metazoa; Chordata; Mammalia; Primates; Hominidae
Description: retained intron
Source: RNAcentral